Molecule: long non-coding RNA, 5027 nt
Filed under: Panax ginseng (ginseng)
Lineage: Eukaryota; Viridiplantae; Streptophyta; Magnoliopsida; Apiales; Araliaceae
Description: long non-coding RNA (PGIN_LNC012751)
Source: RNAcentral
AGGUACGAUGACCUUUAAAUUCUUAUUACAUAAUAGUUAAAUAUUUACAACAUAUAAACUAUCUAUUACAUAACAUCCCAGCAAAUCUACAACUUUUUCUUUCCCUUUAUCUUUACCAGAUGCCUCUACUCGAUACUGAGUAAUUGAAAACAUUUAUAACAAAGUAAGAAUGAGCAUUCAAUUGCUUAGCAAGUAAUAACAUUUUUAAAUAUCUCAUCAAUAAAUAAAUGUUCUCUUUGAAACAUGUUUUGACAGUGAAAUGAAACUGUAAAGUAAAUAAAUCUUGAGUCAUUCAUACUUCUAAAAUAACAUGUCAACAUUUGAUUAGCUGAGAGGUCAUAUAACCAUGAUCAUUCUUUUUCUUUUCUUGAAAAUGUUCUAUCAGAAAUUCAUCUAUGAAUUGUCUUGUCUUACGGGCACGAUAGGUGAUCAACUCUUUAUGCCCUGUAUUGAUCAAUACUAUUUUAUCCAGAACACUUUUUAUGUUCAACGUCACCGCUCCCAGAAUGCAAUAUAAAAUAUCCCAAUUCAGGGAUUGUUCAUUCUCAGACUGGAAUCCAAAUUAUAUCAAUACAGCUGGAAAACUCAAAUCAUAUCACAAUAAUAUUUCAAGACUUAAUAUAAAAGAAUUGAAAUACUUUAAUCUAUGUCUAGCCAGAAAAAAUGACUUAGACUAUAUCUUUAAACUGUUCAUGCAUAUUGAAUUUCAUCUGAUAUACAUAAUAUCAUCUUAACCAUUCUCUUGAAGCUGAUUGGAAUAAAAAGAUUUACUAUACCUUGUAUUAUUCAUAAGUAAUUACGAAACAGUUCAGAAUUUAGAGAAAUUGCCUACAUAUGAAUUAAUAAAUCUAACAUACUUGCUCAAUAAAGAGUAAGAUUUUAGAUAUUUUCCUUGAUUGCGAGCUAUUGAUAAAAAUUCAGCUUAACUUGUUCUCACAGAUCCUACACAAUUAUAUUUGUAUUUACAAACACAUUAGCCAAGUAUCUAAGUCAUAUAACUUGUAUGCUUACAUAACACAUAACCACAUAGAUCAUAUCUUUGGUUUGUGAUGUUACUUAUGAGAUACUUGUAUACAUUUUUCAAAAACCUCAUCCAUGUUCUUAAAAUAAUCAUUUUUUCUCUUUAAUAGAGUUUUGAUAUGCUUGUAUUAUGCAAAUACCUUAUAGUUAUAAUUUAUACCACAUUAGGAACUUAAUACAUGAGCAUUUCAUGCUUCCUUUACAUAACUUCUAGCAUACAAGGUGUUUUCAUAGCUUAUUAUAUGCUUUGAAGGUAUUUUCAACUUUUAUGGUUAGCUUUUAGUCUUCCCAUGAUUUAUAGUUUCAUUUUAAUACAUCAAUGUAUUAAAUAUCUUUUUUUUCUUCAUUAUGUCAAAACAACCUUCUAAAGCUUUAACAGUUUUAACAACCCACUAAUAUGGCAUUGCUUGGAUUUAUUGCUUUGAUUUUAGAAACUUACUUAUGCUAACCAUUCCAUUGCAAAUCCGUUUAUGUUGAGUUAUGAAUCUAAUACAAAUCCUAUAAAUUUAUUUAUUUGAGAAGUUUUAAGUCCACUAUAUGGUUAAGUCUUCAAACUAGAUUCUAGAGCUAAAAUGAUAUACCCAAACUAUUAUAGCAGUCCCUUACUGCCCAUUGCUACUGCAUAUAGGCAGGAACUGCUUUUCAUGUGCCUCACUUUGAGUAGCUUUGAUUCCCCACACCUGUGUUUCCUUUGUCUUAUGUUUUGGAUAUCAUUCAGAUGGUGCAUUCAUCUAGUACUAAAACACAUUAGAUGAGCAAUUCUAGAAGUUUAGAAGUACUAAUUAAGAGCUCAAAAGAAACUUCUAUACAUAGCCACUACUGUAGCAGCCUCUUGGCUGUUAAUUUUGCCAGCUGUUGCUGCCUAAAAGCAGCAGCCCUUACCUCUCAAUCCUAGAUUUGGUAAUUUUUCUUUUGUUUUCCCCUAUUUGACUAAAUAUAAGGGUAAAGUUCAGAUCAGCACAUGAGAUUUGGGCGCUUUCCCACUUAACCACCUGUAGUUAGUAAAGCUACAUUUAAACUCCCGACUUUUUGAGUGAAGUGAAUAAAUUCUUUUCGUCUUAACUCCGUUACUUGAGUUGGCUAAAGACUUAAUUACCCUCCAUAUAUAUAUAUUGAAAACGACGGAUGAUCCUACCAAAGAAACAAAUCGUGUAUAUAUAGAAAAGACAGGGCUACUCAAUUUAACAUGUAUGUAAUCUGCUUCUGCUGCUGAUGAUGAUUCUUAGAGGAAUUUGACUUUGCCCAACAACAUAAUUGCAACUGAAUUAGUAAAAAAAAAUUCUUUUUUUUAUGGUUUAACUGGAAUGAGAGAUUUCACAAACACAGCUGCUAACUUCUCACUAUGCCAAGCCACUGCUUACUGCAAUCCGAACUAUACCACUCCAAGAAUUCUCCUUUAGUUCACCAUUACCCAUUGCUACAUUCUCAAUUUCAUCCUCAACCUCUUAUCCACUGGCUUCCGGUCCUUCAAAAACUGAUUAAACGAAUCUGAAUCGCUCACUUUCUUCUCUCCCAAUGAUUUAGCUGUCUUUAUGACACUCUCUACCCCAUGUUUACCAUUUAACGUACGUGUCCGAAAUCGCUUCCCACCGCCCCGGCUUCCCCACCGGAUUCUUCACCAUCUGCUUCUUCAAUAAUUCCAAAUCCCCCUCACUCCAUUCUCUCUCUUCAAAAGAUUUUACCCCAUUUAUCCCCCCUCACUGGGUUUCUUUUCAUUCUCGUUGACAACAAAAGGGGCAGAAUUAAAACUGAAUUCCUCUUUUUUUUUGGGUUUUGAUCGGCGAUUGGAGGCUUUCUUAUUCAGAUCGGCGACGGUGAGGUUUCUUCAUUUUGGGGCGGCAGCGGGGGUUGGAGGAUACGACCGCGGCCGACGCGGAUGUCUCCAGCGGUGAUGGAGGCGGGGGCGAAGGGGCCGAGAAGGAGGGAGAAGGUGAACCAGAAGAAGAUGGAUUUUAGAUAUUUACCAAAUUUUUUUGACUGUUAUAGACCUUUCUCACGCGCUUUUGGCGUCUGACAUACACACACAGUUAAGUUGGAUGAAAAAUGUGACGUUUUCACUUCAGCUCAAAAAGUCGGGAGUUUAAAUGUAGCUUUAUUGACUGCAGGUGGUUAAGUGGGAAAGCGCCCAAAUCCCAGGUGGUUAUCUGAACUUUACCCUAAAUAUAAUUAUUAACCCUUUUUGUUGCAUUAGUAGCCUCAUAGCAUGGCCUGGUUUGGCUUAGCAGCCCUCACCAUCCCACUAAUUAGCAGCCAAAUGCAACACUUUUCAAUUUGUUAAUUAGCCUUAUCUUAUAGAUUGCUAACCCAUUAUAAAUUUUAUAUACAUGUUUAUCUAGGAGGUUUUAAAUCCAACUCUAUGAUUCAAUCCUUAAAUUGCAUUCUAGAGUUAACAUAACACUCCCAAAACUUCAUGUCAUUACAUGAUUUACAACGACUAUUUAGCAAUACAAAGCUGAUACAUUCAUUUAUAACAGAGUAUCAUCAGCUGAGCAAUAUGUAGCAACACCAGUGCACUAACUGAAAGCCCAUAAAGAGCCCCCAACCAUUGCUCUUCAAGCCCAUUGUGGCUCUCUGCUGCUCUCAGUUAUAGCCCUUAGGCAACAGCCUUGUGCCCAACAUGGCUACUUCUCUAAUUUUUUGCUUCUAAUCCAAAUUUUCGUUUCUAACCAUUGUUAGAGAUAUUUCACAUAAUAUAUGGUAGUAUUUUUAGAAAUUGUACAACCUCCAUUUCAGCUUCAAUAGGCUGCCCAAAACAGUGUGUAAAAGUAGCUUAACACACUAAAUUUUAACUUCUUGUUUUGGGGUUGAAAUUGAAUUUCGUUUUAAUCUAACAAGCUUAAACUCUAGUUAUUAUCCUAUGUAAGAUAUCUAUCCAUUCCAAGCUUUAGUUUUGCCUAAUAUUUGAUUUUCAGCUAAAACAGUCUUUUAAGGACUUUGUCAAGCACUUAGAGUGCAUUGAUAUACACCCAUUUUAUCCUCCUAAUGUCUCCGAACAAACAUCAUAUCUCCUUUACGCUAUUUCGGCCUCAUAACAAUCAAAUUAAUACACAGUUAAAUGCAUAAAUAACCAACCAUUUGCAAACUAGUUAGUUUACUUCCUUUUUAAUUCAAUUCCAUUGAUAAACACAUAAAUCUACCAUAUAGCCAUCUCCAUUAUUAAGCAUACUAAUCAUCAAAUGAAGAAUGUCAGCUCCUAGAUAAAAAACAUCUUGUACAAAUAUAACACAUUUGCACAUAGAUAAAAAACUUGCAUUCAAUGUAAAGAUUGAAUGGAGUUAAGAAACUUGCAUUAUGCGUUGUUUACAACUUUAAGUUAAUUCGCCCUUCGAACGUCCUACACAUUUUAAUGUAUGACGACUGUGGACUCAAGUGCAAAAUUAGGGUUCACUUACACGAUUUCAAUGAAUUCUUGAUUUAGUUCAUUACUUUCAUUUCAUUUUCUCUUUUCAUACAUAUUAGCGGUAAUUUCAGUUCACUAAUUUCAUCUUUUUUCUCCAGAUCUUUAAUGAUUCGCAUGAGUCAACCACCAACCACCAACAAAGCACUUCAAAACUAUAUGAAAAGCUAUAAAAGAGUUGGUUUUAGAGUUUUACCUUUGAAGAUCUUUCUCGUUCUUGUUAAUGUAGGGAUUAAUUUUGUUUUUCCGCUUCCUUUUGCAUAUAAUUUUCGAGCUCUCUCUUCCUCUCUCAAAAAUAUGUAGAGUUUCUUCUCUUGAUUUUGUGAAUUGGUAAGGAAUAAAUAAGAAAUUGCCUCCUAUUUAUAGGCUAGCAAGGCUUAGGGUAGAAUGAUCAUUUAGACUAAUUUAACCAUCAUCUAUCCAUGGUUAAAUAGUGGGUGAUGGGAUGGUUCCAUUGGUCCAUAUAUACAAGUUCACUUAGAUUAAGUUAGACCAUAGUUAGCCUAACUUGGUCUUCUUUGCUUAGUUUGGCCACUUUAACCAUUUAGCUAGCCGCAAUAUUUGACUUUGACAUGUGUAUUUCUACCGUAUAUUUUUUGUAUUAUACUCG